AUGUUUGUCCCAGGACCCUACGCCAUUGCUCACCACCUUAUCUCGUCGUGGGCUUUCGAGGGAGCACCGAAGCUGCCUAGUUCAUUCUCAAACCUAUAAGCCUGGACCCUGGUGUUCAGACAGACGAUGACAGGAACUGGACCCCUGUGCUGCGGGCUCAUGGAUCACCUGUGUUGCCGUGAGUGUAAUUCUGAUAGUGUGUGUCCGUUGCCGGUUGUGAUAAAAUAAAAUAGCAAUAGAGUACUGGGUACAGAAGACUUGCCGGAGGAUUUGGCAUCAAUGGACAUGUAUAUCCAUUGCCUUUUUACAUGUUGAUCCU
This 319-nucleotide long non-coding RNA is filed under the name Zea mays. Its description in RNAcentral is "long non-coding RNA (ZMAY_LNC005250)". The record is from RNAcentral. Lineage: Eukaryota; Viridiplantae; Streptophyta; Magnoliopsida; Poales; Poaceae.